Molecule: ribosomal RNA, 253 nt
Filed under: uncultured bacterium
Lineage: Bacteria
Description: partial 16S ribosomal RNA
Rfam family: Bacterial small subunit ribosomal RNA
Source: RNAcentral
UACGAAGGGGGCGAGCGUUGUUCGGAAUUACUGGGCGUAAAGGGCUCGUAGGUGGCCAACUAAGUCAGACGUGAAAUCCCUCGGCUUAACCGGGGAACUGCGUCUGAUACUGGAUGGCUUGAGGUUGGGAGAGGGAUGCGGAAUUCCAGGUGUAGCGGUGAAAUGCGUAGAUAUCUGGAGGAACACCGGUGGCGAAGGCGGCAUCCUGGACCAAUUCUGACACUGAGGAGCGAAAGCCAGGGGAGCAAACGGG